UUUGGAACCACGUGGGCUCCAAGGUGGCUGGUGCCCAUUGGGUUUGGUAGGGUAGAAGGAAGGGAGACCAACAGUAGGGGGAGCUAGCGGCAAUUAAUUCUAGUUUCAUCCGUCGCCUCCUCAGUUAUACAAGGGCAACAAUGAGACUAAGGACUAUGGUCUUUUCAUCACCAGGCAACGACCUUUUAAUUCAUCCGGGUUUCCUAAUUAAAUUUCAACUCCAGGCUGUUUAUGCAGUCUGUGCUUAAAAAAACUUUUAAAAAACCAAAAACUAUGUUGUUGUUUAUUUUAACAAUGAUACUUUGCAAUUUUAGUUUUUCAUAUAAAUCACCCAGGGAAUAUUUAUUGAUGGGCAGAUUUAUAAAUUUAAUAUUGGCUGGUGCUAAAACCACACCUCAAUCUUUACUUUUUUUGUUUUUAAAUUUCCAGUGGUGAAGAAGAGCAGACGCUUACUCUGUGGGUUCCUCCUCUCUAAAUAUUGAUUGAAUGAUUGAUCGGAUUGAUUACAUUCCCAUCCCGCCUUUCCUCCCAAAGACGCUGACACUGUGGGUUCAAAAAUAGAGCCAAACAUGCACCGGUGUGAGGAGUAAGGCGUAAAUCCAUGUCAGGAAUUUCCCCUCCUCUUUGGCCGUGUCCUGGCUGAAAGCUGUGCACCUAAGACUGUAACUAAAGGAAGCAUUAUGACCUCAGAAAAAUCCCAAGGAGAAGUUCAACAAGCCACUAUUUUGGCAACUGGCUCCAAAGGCAAGGAUGGAGGCCCUUGUCCCCUUAGCGUAAAAGUUGUCCUACCUGAGUACGUUGGAACAAAAGCUGUACAUGACGAC
Molecule: non-coding RNA, 824 nt
Organism: Podarcis lilfordi (Lilford's wall lizard)
Lineage: Eukaryota; Metazoa; Chordata; Lepidosauria; Squamata; Lacertidae
Source: the annotation of a GenBank genome assembly